RNAcentral lists this long non-coding RNA (5002 nucleotides) under Triticum aestivum (bread wheat). RNAcentral describes it as "long non-coding RNA (TAES_LNC023802)". Lineage: Eukaryota; Viridiplantae; Streptophyta; Magnoliopsida; Poales; Poaceae. The record is from RNAcentral.
GCAACUGUAAUCUACAAAAACUGGAAUAAAAACAUUUCUAAGAUCAGUGAUAGUGCAAAUGGCAUGUUUCCUUGUUUUAUGUUCCCAUAAUAUUAAAACUAAUUUGUAUUAUUAUGUUACUCUAAGCAAUAUACUCCUAUGUCAGACCCGAGUGGUCUGAAUAACUAAAUUCAGUUAAGCACUCACUGAAUCAACAAAUCUUACGGAAACUUGAGCUCGAUUGCGAGAGAUUUAGUGUGAGUUCAGAUACACCUAAGGGCCAACCAGGAACGCUAGCGGCUAGGGUUUACCCCUUACAAAACAGAAUGCCCUCAAAGGCUCUGUAGACCUUUGCCGGAAAGUGAACAGCGACUCGGGUGCUCCUCAGCCGUCCAAUGAAGGAUCAACACCGUAUCACUGUUCUCCUGCGAAGUGGUAUGCAGGAGCGAAGUGUUGGAUGAUAGAUGGACGGCCCGUAGUGCUUCGCGCCAACUGGUAUCGAUUCAAACUUAUCUGAAACAGAUUAAAGGUGUCGAUUUCUUCAGAGAUAAAACAGCCCAGGUCCUGACAUAUAUGCAUGCAUUCCUAUGAAUCCAUCCCAUUCAGUGGUUUUGAUGUAUAAUUAUGGCUCUGAACUGACCAAAAUGGAUGAUCUGAAUAUGCACUUCAUAAUCAGAACCAAAGAAUAACACAAUGAAUUCAUGGUUCAAAAGCACCCCAUAACAGCAUUGGCCAUCGUCUAUAACAUUUUUUGAAAUCAUAAAAAUAUGCUAGUAAAACAACAUUGCUCCCCAGCCUGUAGAAAGCACACAAGAAUUUGCACUUCCAACCUAAUAAGUACCAACAGAUAUCAAAGAAAUAUAGAUAUGCACCAACAUUGACCACUCCUUUCAUGAACUCGAUCGCCUGUCCUGCUAUCCAUCCUUCAACAGUACUCCCUCCGUCCCAUAAUGUAAGACGUUUUUUUUUUACACUAGUGUAGCGUCAAAAAAACGUCUUACAUUGUGGGACGGAGGGAGUACAUCUGAUAGACUCACUUUCACUUGAUAAAUUGCACAUCCUUUGUCUAGAAUAAAGUGCAGCCCCGGAGCCCCCGAUACAAGUAAUUCACUCAAGUGAAGGAUUGAAUACAAAAUUGACAUCGCAUUGUCUACGGAUGUUAAAAACAUAAGAAACGGUCAGCAUACCCACAUUGUAUAGUGCUCAAGCUCAAACAGUCUUAAAGUUGAACACUGAAACAUCUAUUUUGGCUUUCCAGUUUAUGGAAGGAUAAGCAAUGAGAGAUCAAGCAGACUUUUAAACAUCUACUCCCUCCAUUCCAUAUUAGUUGUCGCUGAUUUAGUAACUUUAUACUAAAUCAGCGACAACUAAUAUGGAACGGAGGGGAUAUCAUUUUAUUUUUCGAAGGACAAAAAAGAUUGGACACCAUUUUACUGUACUGAACUACAACUAAAUGCAAAACAUUUCACUGCACCAUGGGAAAAGAUGGGACAUGCACGGUAUCACCCACCAUUUACAUGUAGCCUGUGUUCCGCUGCACCAAAUAUACAUAUGCCAACUGGCAUCGACACAAAAAUAGCAAUACCUUAUUUUACUCUUUUUUUACCUUCUACUUCUACUUGAUACAUGUGUGUGUAAUCUGUCCAGCCUAACCACUUGCAAAGACCAUAAAUCAAAGUCUAAUCACACGUAAUCAAUUGUUUCGUAAAGCAGUAUAGCAUAAAUUGAAGGGAUAAUAUAAGGUAUUUAAGAAUAUCAUGAGAUCAAUAGAAUAAAUAUUUUACUUAACGUCUUUGAAUUCUUGUAUUUAAGGAAACGGAAAGAUUUGUUUCAGCUUAUCCUUGUUAUCAGAUGUAUAGGCAUAUCUGAUGGAUCUAAUAUCUAUAGUCCAGGGAUAUAAAAAGUAGCUGAUUCAAUAUUUAUUGACCCAGAGUGUGCUUGACUGAAAAUAGUACAAUGCAUGUUAAUCAACUAAAUGGCAACUAUAGAGACAGAAAUGUGGCUAAGAUGCAACCUUGAUGCCCGCCAUCAGUUCAUCAGUAUCAACCUCAUCACGAGCAAGCCAUCUGGAAAAAAAAAUAGUUCCCCUCACAAAAAUCCGAGUUUGCCUCCAUCUUAUGCAUAAAUAGCCAAUGGCUCCAACAACAAUAGCAGUUAAACAGUAGGCUACAGAGUCUGCAAGAGAAUAAUUUUGCUUCGGUAGUUAUGUAAGAAAACUAACAAGUGUUUGCUGAACUUAGCUAGAUGAAGUACAAAAUAUAGAUUACAGGCAAACCUGCACACAUCUGCUAAGCUACAGGGCCUGCAUUGCUUCAGCGCGCCUUUGUGCGCCUCCUGGGUGGUCAGGUGUGCCCUUUUGUGUGAAAAGCGCACCUAUGCCCUGCAACACAUGUAUACAAAAAUAAGCUAUUCACACAAACAAUGGGGGCAAGUAGCACACAAUCCUAGACGGCGCACAUAGUAACUGCAAAUACUAUAUUAUACGGUAGCAUACUUUCUUAGCAAAUCGAACAAGGGAGUUUUUGCCAUUCUCGAAAUGUCAUAAAGGUUGAUGCUUCGAGGCAUGUAUUACAUGGCAUCAGAUAGUGCCUGAUGUAGCCACAAUGGAAAUACAGUGCUAUAAAGUAGCAAAUAAUCUUAGGAAACGUUUCCGAUGCUCUACAAACAUCAAAGGGGUUGGUGUCCUUGGGCAUAUAUUAAGGCAGGAAGGAUUUCACUUCCGAUCCAUGGAGCAGAAGGCCCGAUGCACGGAUGCAGGGUAGGCAUCAUCAUGACAUCAUCCUAGUAGUUAACUGGUCAAUCCAAAAUAAGAGCUCUGGUGCAAAGCAAAGCAAAACUGCAUUCACAACACCGUCGAAAAAUAAGAAGCAACACACUGCAAAGAGGGAACCACAUGACAAACUGCUAGACCAUGCCUGUGGCACACGGUCCACUUCCCUUUCCUGGCAAUCAGUGAUUUCUUAGUACGGAAAGCUGGAAUAAUCGCGGCAUGAGCUGGACAGCUCCUCCAUCAGUGUCUUGCUGUUUAUGACCAGAGGCAAUUAGACACAAUUCGGAAGGAAGAAGGAUGCUCACCGGCGUCCACACUAAUGUUGUCUCUUGGGCUGCGGAAAAGAAACAUCUUUUUGAAGAUGACGUGGGGUAAAAUAUACUGAUAUGACAUAUUAUUUCAAUUCAGACAAAACACUAUUACAAGCAUUACUUGGAGAAGGAAUGAAACAACAUCAAAGAAAAUCAGAGAGGGCCAUGAUGCAGAUGAGCUGUAAUGUUAAUUCCUUGCCGCAGUUUAAAUAACCUGAUAGGACGAAUAAAAUCACUUUAAUUGGUGUGACCAACAACUAUUGCCAUACUAAACCAAGACUAAUUUUUAAUACUCCCUCCAUCCCAUAAUAUAAGAUGUUAUUACAACCAAUAUGUGGGUACAUUGGUUGUAAUAACGUCUUAUAUUAUGGGACGGAGGGAGUAGCAUUUAGCCUUGCCCAAAAUUGCAUAUUUGAUUGUUACUAUGUUUGGUACAAUCUAGAUGACAUGAAAACAACUACAUUUAGUACAGAAACUUGUAUUCAGUCGCAGUGAUAUUUUUGAUGAAUGGAUAAUAUUUUCAGGCAUUCACUAGGGUACAAAUAUGCAGCGGGUAUGUUGAGUUACCAACUUCAAUAUGCUGUGGUUAACAAAUAGCACACGUAUCCUCGUUAAGAUUAUCAGUUUCAUGCACGAAAAUCUGUGGCUUACACAUAAACAAUUCUAAAAACCAUAAGAUCAGAGUUCCUCGAUUGAUUUGCUCCCCUGAACUCAACAGAGCAACCAUGGUCACUGACUCACCAUCUCCGUGUCUUCCUGCUUGCAAGGAGGCCAUUCACUAUGGUUAAUUAUGGAAAUUAAGCAAGCCAUCCAGAAAAUUUUAGGAACUCAGUGACAUCAGAUUCAUGGACAGGUAGACCAGAAAUUAUACUGACCUGCAUAUGCGGCACUCUCCUGAGCCAAAUCUUGGAUUAACAAAUUGAUGGACCUACACAAGCAGCACAUUAUCAAUUCAGGUGAGAACAUGAUUCUUUUAUAAGACAAGACAGAUUUACAAUCCCCUCUUCCAUUUGCAAAAAUAUUCAUGAGCAUAAGAACAAAUUCACAACUAACAUCUCAAAUCGAGAUUAAUCCAUCAAACAGUCCAAAAAUAUAUAAAUAGUGGAGUUGCUAAUUGCCUACCUGGAUGUUGUGCACGAGAAGAAGACGACGAGCAAGGUCGCAUGGGAGCUUGCAGCUUCUAGCGAGCAGCACGAGACGCCGUGGUGGUCCUCACCACGCCGUUCCCCCUUCUCCUGCCACUUACGCAUCCUCACCGCGCUAGCCGGCCUCCCUUCGUGCUCUACCACACAUCCGCCCCGUGACACCACGAAUCGCGGACGCCGCAGCCGAGCGGGGCGCGGAUGGAUGGGGAAAUGGAGGCGGUGACGACGAGAUGAGGACCUUGGGAGGCGGUGGAUCUCAUCGGUAGGGGCGGCGGCCACCAACGGGAUUUCAUGCGAUGACAAUGACCUCGGGAAGCGUCAGAGGAGCUCGGAGCGGAGAAGAGGCAGAUACGAGGGAGGGAGGAGUUGGAGCGGAGGCUCGCAAGGGAGAAUGACUUGGGGUGGAGGAGGAGGGAGGAGUGUAGCGGCUGUGGAUUGGGGGCUAGGGUUCAUGCGGUUGUGCUCAAUGGGCUUUCCAGGAGGAAUAACCAAUCACACCCUCACAUGGCCGCACCCACCCAUCUUCACAUGACCCCACCUAGGAAGAGGCCCACCAGUCAUACUCACGUAAAAAAAGUGAAAACAGCAGUCAAAAUCGGACGGCCAAGGGGAGCCAAGGUGGGAAAUCUACUCGGAUCCAACGACCAGGAAUCGCCCAAUCUGGAGGAGCGCCAUGGAGGCGGGUUGGCUGGCAGCCUUUAAAAAAAUUAGAUAGAUCGGAUUCGUUCCUUUAUAGCAUACGCGAACUUCAAUUAUUUUGCCAUUGAUGAAUAUACAUAAUGUACUUUAAUUUCCUA